CACUCCUACGGGAGGCAGCAGUGGGGAAUUUUGGACAAUGGGCGAAAGCCUGAUCCAGCAAUGCCGCGUGUGUGAAGAAGGCCUUCGGGUUGUAAAGCACUUUUGUCCGGAAAGAAAUCCUUGGCUCUAAUACAGUCGGGGGAUGACGGUACCGGAAGAAUAAGCACCGGCUAACUACGUGCCAGCAGCCGCGGUAAUACGUAGGGUGCGAGCGUUAAUCGGAAUUACUGGGCGUAAAGCGUGCGCAGGCGGUUUGCUAAGACCGAUGUGAAAUCCCCGGGCUCAACCUGGGAACUGCAUUGGUGACGGGCAGGCUAGAGUAUGGCAGAGGGGGGUAGAAUUCCACGUGUAGCAGUGAAAUGCGUAGAGAUGUGGAGGAAUACCGAUGGCGAAGGCAGCCCCCUGGGCCAAUACUGACGCUCAUGCACGAAAGCGUGGGGAGCAAACAGGAUUAGAAACCCGAGUAGUCCC
This 471-nucleotide ribosomal RNA is filed under the name uncultured organism. Its description in RNAcentral is "partial 16S ribosomal RNA". It matches the Rfam family "Bacterial small subunit ribosomal RNA", at positions 334 to 797 of the family's 1533-position model. The record is from RNAcentral.